Pimephales promelas (fathead minnow) is the source of this 441-nucleotide non-coding RNA. NCBI's taxonomy places the organism in Eukaryota, Metazoa, Chordata, Actinopteri, Cypriniformes, Leuciscidae. The record is from RefSeq and is a predicted model, not a curated record.
GAAGCAAUCUCCACACCGGUCCAAACUUGCCUUGAUGCCAUUCACCCUGUUUUUAAUCUUUAUCACAGUGAGGGAGAGGACAAGCGCUAUGUUCCUUCUAAUUGGGAUUAUCUUUCCAUGAUGCAACAGAUCUCAAGAACAUGGUGACGGCGCACAGUGGGGUACAUACACAGCAAAGUCAACAUAUGCUACAUCACUGCUUCCAGCAUGCUUGACCACACUCAAACAAACUGCGUACAUUCAUUCACAGUGUCCGGUGCUUGCCAAGAGCAAAGCAGAGUAAUGAGACAAGAUGGAGAGGAACGGAGAGUGCCAAACGACUCCAGUCUCAACCAGUCUCGGCAGAACCAUUCUAAUGAUGCGAGCCGCACAAUGGAAGGUGACCCACUUAGUGCCUCUUCCCUCUGUGACUCGCCAUCUCCGAAGACAACCUGGCCCAAU